AAAAAAAUAAAAAUAAAUAAAAAAAAAAAAGUAUAGGCUGGGAUAAGUGAGUGAUUCAGUGUUAGCUUUAGUGUCAAUAGAACUUGCACUGAAAUAUUCAAUUUUUUUCCCACAGCCCUGGACAACUUUCAGGAAGACAGUUCUGAUCUGUAGCAAUUAACACAUGGUCAUCCUCAGAGAAAGGAGAUACCCAUAGCUUAAAAUACAGGAACCAAGAACUUUGAGCCUAGACAUUUGGAUGAAAAGUGAUUUCCACCUGGAGAAAGUCAUUGCCCUUCUGUGCAGAGCUCCAGGUAGCUAUAGGGAAAUUGAGGCAUAACUGCUGUGUCCACCAGCCCGAAGUUGUUCCAGGGACAGCAGCAACCUCAGGAGGAGGCCAGAGAUUGGCCAAUGGAAAGGCAGAAAGCAGAGACUCUCCACCCAGGCGGAGGCACCAGAGGGCCCAUGGAGGGAAUGGACAGCUGGCGUUAUGGUCCCCCUACGUUUUCCCAAGACUCUUCCAGCUGCCUAAUGGCCAACUGAGGCUGCUCCUUGACCUUGAGUACAAAUGGCCCUCAUGCCCAAACAGCCACCUGACCAGAGCCAACCGACAACCUCCUGUGAGCUUCUCAGCCCCAGGCUGGCUCUGCAGGUAAGAGACAGACAUUAUGUUGAGGCCAAUGUAACCCGUGCCAACCAGCGUGUCGAGAUUUCUGCCUAGUUUUAUUGUUGUGAACUCCAGAC
RNAcentral lists this long non-coding RNA (723 nucleotides) under Piliocolobus tephrosceles (Ugandan red Colobus). RNAcentral's name for it is "lncRNA (ENSPTEG00000000475.1)". The record is from RNAcentral. Lineage: Eukaryota; Metazoa; Chordata; Mammalia; Primates; Cercopithecidae.